Molecule: microRNA, 23 nt
Filed under: Caenorhabditis brenneri
Lineage: Eukaryota; Metazoa; Nematoda; Chromadorea; Rhabditida; Rhabditidae
Source: RNAcentral
UAUGACACUUAAGCUAAUCUGAA